RNAcentral lists this ribosomal RNA (253 nucleotides) under uncultured bacterium. RNAcentral describes it as "partial 16S ribosomal RNA". It matches the Rfam family "Archaeal small subunit ribosomal RNA", at positions 474 to 727 of the family's 1478-position model. The record is from RNAcentral.
UACCAGCACCCCGAGUGGUCGGGACGAUUAUUGGGCCUAAAGCAUCCGUAGCCGGUUCUACAAGUCUUCCGUUAAAUCCACCUGCUCAACAGUUGGGCUGCGGAGGAUACUAUAGAGCUAGGAGGCGGGAGAGGCAAGCGGUACUUUAUGGGUAGGGGUAAAAUCCGUUGAUCCAUAGAAGACCACCAGUGGCGAAGGCGGCUUGCCAGAACGCGCUCGACGGUGAGGGAUGAAAGCUGGGGGAGCAAACCGG